GUGGUGGUUCAGUGGUAGAAUUCUCACCUUCCACGUGGAAGAGAGACCCAGGUUCGAUUCCUGGCCAGCACA
RNAcentral lists this transfer RNA (72 nucleotides) under Loxodonta africana (African savanna elephant). It matches the Rfam family "tRNA". From Rfam's summary of the family: Transfer RNA (tRNA) molecules are approximately 80 nucleotides in length. The record is from Rfam by way of RNAcentral. Lineage: Eukaryota; Metazoa; Chordata; Mammalia; Proboscidea; Elephantidae.